RNAcentral lists this ribosomal RNA (215 nucleotides) under uncultured bacterium. RNAcentral describes it as "partial 16S ribosomal RNA". It matches the Rfam family "Bacterial small subunit ribosomal RNA", at positions 524 to 736 of the family's 1533-position model. The record is from RNAcentral.
UACGUAGGGUGCGAGCGUUAAUCGGAAUUACUGGGCGUAAAGCGUGCGCAGGCGGUGAUGUAAGACCGAUGUGAAAUCCCCGGGCUUAACCUGGGAACUGCAUUGGUGACUGGCAGGCUUUGAGUGUGGCAGAGGGAGGUAGAAUUCCACGUGUAGCAGUGAAAUGCGUAGAGAUGUGGAGGAAUACCGAUGGCGGAAGGCAGCCUCCUGGGCCA